This 561-nucleotide ribosomal RNA is filed under the name Streptococcus oralis subsp. tigurinus 2425. RNAcentral's name for it is "bacterial LSU rRNA". It matches the Rfam family "Bacterial large subunit ribosomal RNA", at positions 1427 to 1997 of the family's 2925-position model. The record is from RNAcentral. Lineage: Bacteria; Bacillati; Bacillota; Bacilli; Lactobacillales; Streptococcaceae.
AGGUUGAUAUUCCUGUACUAGAGUAUGUAGUGAUGGAGGGACGCAGUAGGCUAACUAAAGCAGACGAAUGGAAGUGUCUGUCUAAGCAGUGAGGUGUGAUAUGAGUCAAAUGCUUAUAUCUAUAACAUUGAGCUGUAAUGGGGAGCGAAGUUUAGUAGCGAAGUUAGUGACGUCACACUGCCAAGAAAAGCUUCUAGCGUUUAAACAUACUCUACCCGUACCGCAAACCGACACAGGUAGUCGAGGCGAGUAGCCUCAGGUGAGCGAGAGAACUCUCGUUAAGGAACUCGGCAAAAUGACCCCGUAACUUCGGGAGAAGGGGUGCUGACAUAUGUCAGCCGCAGUGAAUAGGCCCAAGCAACUGUUUAUCAAAAACACAGCUCUCUGCUAAAUCGUAAGAUGAUGUAUAGGGGGUGACGCCUGCCCGGUGCUGGAAGGUUAAGAGGAGUGCUUAGGAGUAAUCCGAAGGUAUGAAUUGAAGCCCCAGUAAACGGCGGCCGUAACUAUAACGGUCCUAAGGUAGCGAAAUUCCUUGUCGGGUAAGUUCCGACCCGCACGAAA